RNAcentral lists this non-coding RNA (22 nucleotides) under Mus musculus (house mouse). Lineage: Eukaryota; Metazoa; Chordata; Mammalia; Rodentia; Muridae. The record is from RNAcentral.
UAAAGAGAGAGCAGCGUUGGGG